This 497-nucleotide ribosomal RNA is filed under the name uncultured bacterium. Its description in RNAcentral is "partial 16S ribosomal RNA". It matches the Rfam family "Bacterial small subunit ribosomal RNA", at positions 28 to 507 of the family's 1533-position model. The record is from RNAcentral.
GAUGAACGCUGGCGGCGUGCCUAAUACAUGCAAGUCGAGCGAACAGACGAGGAGCUUGCUCCCCUGACGUUAGCGGCGGACGGGUGAGUAACACGUGGAUAACCUACCUAUAAGACUGGGAUAACUUCGGGAAACCGGAGCUAAUACCGGAUAAUAUAUUGAACCGCAUGGUUCAAUAGUGAAAGACGGUUUUGCUGUCACUUAUAGAUGGAUCCGCGCCGCAUUAGCUAGUUGGUAAGGUAACGGCUUACCAAGGCAACGAUGCGUAGCCGACCUGAGAGGGUGAUCGGCCACACUGGAACUGGGACACGGUCCAGAGUCCUACGAGAGGCAGCAGUAUGGAAUCUUACGCAAUGGGCGAAAGCCUGACGGAGCAACGCCGCGUGAGAGAUGAAGGUCUUCGGAUCGUGAAACUCUGUUAUUAGGGAAAAACAAAUGUGUAAGUAACUAUGCACGUCUUGACGGUACCUAAUCAGAAAGCCACGGCUAACUACGUG